Molecule: long non-coding RNA, 541 nt
Organism: Talpa occidentalis (Iberian mole)
Lineage: Eukaryota; Metazoa; Chordata; Mammalia; Eulipotyphla; Talpidae
Exons: 3
Source: RefSeq, a predicted model, not a curated record
AUGUGCUACGUUAAUGGAACUGCAUGUUUCUUAGGAAAUGUUGCUUUCUUAAUACAUAUAUUAUUAGUGCUCUCAUGGGCUAAAUGUACUUUUAUUGAAGAUAUUAUCCUAAAGUUGCUUAGUACUCAAAGCUAUAGCAAUAGGAAAGAUGCAAAACAAUAUAAAAUGUAUACAGUAUUUUUUUAUUAUUUUCUCCCAGAACUUAUGAACGUGAUGAUUUUCCAUUUUUCUGGUUUGUUUUUUACUCUACAUGAGGAAACCCUUAGGCUUUCAUAGAAUUUACAUUUGAACUCGUUUUUCCUUAGUCUCUUAAGGUUUCUGAAGGCUAAUAUCCAGAGGGCCUGAGAACUAAACCUCUUUCAAGUUACAGAAGUUUUCAAUACUCCUAGAAAAUUCUUCUAUCUAUUCCUUGUGGAUACCGCUCUACAGCUCCCUCUCCUAAGAGGCUGAAGUGCAAGAUCCCGGUGCCAGGAUGGUUGGGUGAAGAGCCUCUUGUGUGUCCCAGAUGUCUUAUAACCUCAUAUGGCCAAAGGAGGGAGUG